GAGACUCUGUGCGCGUGCAUAUCAAUAAGCGGAGGAAAAGAAACUAACAUAGGAUUCCCUCAGUAACGGCGAGUGAAGCGGGAAGAGCUCAAAUUUGAAAUCUUCAAGGGUUCUACCUUGACGAAUUGUAGUUUAAAGAAGUGUUUUCUGUUGGAGUUUUGGUAAAAGUUCUUUGGAAUAGGACAUCAUAGAGGGUGAGAAUCCCGUAUUUGACCAGUUACUUUCCAGCUGUGUGAUACACUUUCAAAGAGUCGGAUUGUUUGGGAAUGCAGUCCAAAAUGGGUGGUAAAUUUCAUCUAAAGCUAAAUAUUGGCGAGAGACCGAUAGCGAACAAGUACCGUGAGGGAAAGAUGAAAAGAACUUUGAAAAGAGAGUUAAACAGUACGUGAAAUUGUCAAAAGGGAAGCGUUUGACACCAGUGUUGUUUAGUUGAAAAUCAAUUCAAUAAUUUUUGAUUCUGAGUAGUAUUGACUUCAUCAGCUUGCUGCUUUCUUCUCAGGAAAUUAUUGAAUGCACUUUUCAGUUAACAAGUCAACAUCAAUUUCUUUUGUUGUAAAAGGGUAAGAGGAAGGUGGCUUACGCUUCGGCGUCAAGUGUUUAUAGCCUUUUAUCUCUGCAAUCGGAGAGAUUGAGGUACAUGCAGCGUAGACUCCUUCGGGGUUAGAUACACUUGUGCUAAGCUAUAGCCUUGUAUAGACAACUUGUUGACUAUGCUCAGUCAUGUAGCUUACUCGCUGAUGCUAUUUUACCUACGCUUAGGAUGUUGAUCUGUAGUGCGUGCGC
Molecule: ribosomal RNA, 783 nt
Filed under: uncultured Neocallimastigales
Lineage: Eukaryota; Fungi; Neocallimastigomycota; Neocallimastigomycetes; Neocallimastigales
Description: partial large subunit ribosomal RNA
Rfam family: Eukaryotic large subunit ribosomal RNA
Source: RNAcentral